GGGGGCAACCCUGACCGAKCAACGCCGCGUGAGUGAAGANGGUUUUCGGAUCGUAAAGCUCUGUUGUAAGUCAAGAACGAGUGUGAGAGUGGAAAGUUCACACUGUGACGGUAGCUUACCAGAAAGGGACGGCUAACUCCGUGCCAGCAGCCGCGGUAAUACGGAGGGUGCAAGCGUUAAUCGGAAUUACUGGGCGUAAAGCGCACGCAGGCGGUUUGUUAAGUCAGAUGUGAAAUCCCCGGGCUCAACCUGGGAACUGCAUCUGAUACUGGCAAGCUUGAGUCUCGUAGAGGGGGGUAGAAUUCCAGGUGUAGCGGUGAAAUGCGUAGAGAUCUGGAGGAAUACC
Molecule: ribosomal RNA, 346 nt
Filed under: uncultured bacterium
Lineage: Bacteria
Description: bacterial SSU rRNA
Rfam family: Bacterial small subunit ribosomal RNA
Source: RNAcentral